AGCAGCCGCGGUAAUUCCAGCUCCAAUAGCGUAUAUUAAAGUUGUUGCAGUUAAAAAGCUCGUAGUUGAAUUUCGGGAUUGGCGCAUCGGUCGUGCCUCACGGGGUAUGAACUGGUGCAGUCAAUUUCUCACCUUCUGGAGAACCGCGAUGUCCUUAAUUGGGUGCCGCGGGGAACCAGGACCUUUACUUUGAAAAAAUUAGAGUGUUUAAAGCAGGCAUUUUUGCUUGAAUACAUUAGCAUGGAAUAAUAAAAUAGGACGGCAUGGUUCUAUUUUGUUGGUUUCUAGGACCACCGUAAUGAUUAAUAGGGAUAGUUGGGGGCAUUAGUAUUCAAUUGUCAGAGGUGAAAUUCUUGGAUUUAUUGAAGACUAACUACUGCGAAAGCAUUUGCCAAGGAUGUUUUCAUUAAUCAAGAACGAAAGUUAGGGGAUCGAAGACGAUCAGAUACCGUCGUAGUCUUAACCAUAAACUAUGCCGACUAGGAAUCAGACGAUGUUAAUUUUUUAAUGACUCGUUUGGCACCUUACG
Molecule: ribosomal RNA, 529 nt
Filed under: uncultured Glomeromycotina
Lineage: Eukaryota; Fungi; Glomeromycota
Also listed under: 1 other name
Description: SSU rRNA
Rfam family: Eukaryotic small subunit ribosomal RNA
Source: RNAcentral